GGAUGAACGCUGGCGGCGUGCUUAACACAUGCAAGUCGAACGGAAAGGCCACAGCUUGCUGUGGUACUCGAGUGGCGAACGGGUGAGUAACACGUGGGUGAUCUGCCCUGUACUUCGGGAUAAGCUUGGGAAACUGGGUCUAAUACCGGAUAGGAAUCACAUGUGGGUGUGUGGUUGGAAAGCUUUUGCGGUAUGGGAUGAGCUCGCGGCCUAUCAGCUUGUUGGUGGGGUAAUGGCCUACCAAGGCGUCGACGGGUAGCCGGCCUGAGAGGGUGUACGGCCACAUUGGGACUGAGAUACGGCCCAGACUCCUACGGGAGGCAGCAGUGGGGAAUAUUGCACAAUGGGCGCAAGCCUGAUGCAGCGACGCCGCGUGGGGGAUGACGGCCUUCGGGUUGUAAACUCCUUUCGUCAGGGACGAAGCGAAAGUGACGGUACCUGGAUAAGAAGCACCGGCUAACUACGUG
This 467-nucleotide ribosomal RNA is filed under the name uncultured bacterium. Its description in RNAcentral is "partial 16S ribosomal RNA". It matches the Rfam family "Bacterial small subunit ribosomal RNA", at positions 27 to 507 of the family's 1533-position model. The record is from RNAcentral.